This 76-nucleotide transfer RNA is filed under the name Campylobacterota bacterium. RNAcentral describes it as "Epsilonproteobacteria bacterium tRNA-Val". It matches the Rfam family "tRNA". Rfam says of the family: Transfer RNA (tRNA) molecules are approximately 80 nucleotides in length. Their secondary structure includes four short double-helical elements and three loops (D, anti-codon, and T loops). The record is from RNAcentral. Lineage: Bacteria; Pseudomonadati; Campylobacterota. RNAcentral also lists the same sequence under 2 other names.
GGGCGGUUAGCUCAGUUGGUAGAGCAUCAGUCUUACAAACUGGGGGUCACUGGUUCGAGUCCAGUAUCGCCCACCA